RNAcentral lists this ribosomal RNA (298 nucleotides) under Pediococcus sp. RNAcentral describes it as "partial 23S ribosomal RNA". It matches the Rfam family "Bacterial large subunit ribosomal RNA", at positions 2632 to 2925 of the family's 2925-position model. Lineage: Bacteria; Bacillati; Bacillota; Bacilli; Lactobacillales; Lactobacillaceae. The record is from RNAcentral.
CGGUCCCUAUCCGUCGCGGGCGUAGGAAAUUUGAGAGGAUCUGUCCUUAGUACGAGAGGACCGGGAUGGACAUACCGCUGGUGUACCAGUUGUUCCGCCAGGAGCAUCGCUGGGUAGCUACGUAUGGAUGAGAUAAACGCUGAAAGCAUCUAAGUGUGAAACUCGCCUCAAGAUGAGAUUUCCCAUUCCAUUUAUGGAAGUAAGACCCCUGAGAGAUGAUCAGGUAGAUAGGUUGGGAGUGGAAGUGUAGUGAUACAUGGAGCGGACCAAUACUAAUCGGUCGAGGACUUAACCACAA